UGGCACUUGUGCUCUCAGGGCGUGACUUUUCGCUAACGAUAUCCAAUUCGGGCUAAAAAUCAUUCCCGUGCGUCGAAAAUAAGAUAUUUCUGAAUGAAAUGACUGAUACUUUCAAAAAUUAAGUUAUCGUAAAAUUCCAAUAAUCCAGUGUGCUCGAUACUUUGGCAAUGUUGAGUUAUAAAAUUGGCUGAAUUAUUGAACUAUAUCUGCGAUACCGUAAAGACAUUUAAUAAUCUAAUUAUAUUAUUAGAUUUAUUAUACUAUAUUAUAUAUUAUAUAUUAUAUAUUGUAGUAUCGUGGACGAAAGGCCUAAGAGAUAUCGGGCGAAUUAUAAACAAGCGGUUGCGAAACAUGUACGUGAGGCUAAGACAAAAGACAAGGGGUUGCUAAGGGACAAAGACAAAUUAACAGUCAGUGUUAGUUGUGGAGUCAGAGAGUGUGAAUCGAGAAGUCAAGGAGAUAAUGUUGCUAGCGUUGUCG
RNAcentral lists this unclassified non-coding RNA (480 nucleotides) under Bombus terrestris (buff-tailed bumblebee). RNAcentral's name for it is "misc RNA ENSBTSG00005022356.1". Lineage: Eukaryota; Metazoa; Arthropoda; Insecta; Hymenoptera; Apidae. The record is from RNAcentral.